RNAcentral lists this ribosomal RNA (587 nucleotides) under Microbacterium sp. RNAcentral's name for it is "bacterial SSU rRNA". It matches the Rfam family "Bacterial small subunit ribosomal RNA", at positions 118 to 719 of the family's 1533-position model. The record is from RNAcentral. Lineage: Bacteria; Bacillati; Actinomycetota; Actinomycetes; Micrococcales; Microbacteriaceae.
UGAGCAAUCUGCCCCUGACUCUGGGAUAAGCGCUGGAAACGGCGUCUAAUACUGGAUACGAGCUGCGAAGGCAUCUUCAGCAGCUGGAAAGAACUUCGGUCAGGGAUGAGCUCGCGGCCUAUCAGCUUGUUGGUGAGGUAAUGGCUCACCAAGGCGUCGACGGGUAGCCGGCCUGAGAGGGUGACCGGCCACACUGGGACUGAGACACGGCCCAGACUCCUACGGGAGGCAGCAGUGGGGAAUAUUGCACAAUGGGCGCAAGCCUGAUGCAGCAACGCCGCGUGAGGGACGACGGCCUUCGGGUUGUAAACCUCUUUUAGCAGGGAAGAAGCGAAAGUGACGGUACCUGCAGAAAAAGCGCCGGCUAACUACGUGCCAGCAGCCGCGGUAAUACGUAGGGCGCAAGCGUUAUCCGGAAUUAUUGGGCGUAAAGAGCUCGUAGGCGGUUUGUCGCGUCUGCUGUGAAAUCCCGAGGCUCAACCUCGGGUCUGCAGUGGGUACGGGCAGACUAGAGUGCGGUAGGGGAGAUUGGAAUUCCUGGUGUAGCGGUGGAAUGCGCAGAUAUCAGGAGGAACACCGAUGGCGAA